This is a long non-coding RNA of Chenopodium quinoa (quinoa), 2151 nucleotides long. RefSeq lists it as uncharacterized. The record is from RefSeq and is a predicted model, not a curated record. The transcript has 2 exons. Lineage: Eukaryota; Viridiplantae; Streptophyta; Magnoliopsida; Caryophyllales; Amaranthaceae.
CGCUCUCUUUCUCUUCUCCUUCCCCUAUUCCCCCUGUUUCUCUGAAUCUCCCUAACCUCUUUGAAUCUCUUUCUCUUCUCCUUCCCGUUUCUCCUUCCCCUUCUGUUUCUCCUUCCCCUUAUUUCUCGUCUUUCUCGCCUUUUUGGGGUAAUUCAGAUCCGUAUUUUUUUGGGGUUUUUGGGGUACGAAUUGCGGAAAGAAGGGGGCGAAAUACGAGGCCAGAGGUUAAGUUAAGUUAUUUUUUGUCUUUAAUAUUUCAUUCGGUUAUUAGAUUUUGUCAAAUAAUUUUACAGUUUUUUUGGUCAAAAUUGGGAAAAAUCGAACAAAAAAACCCUAAAUUUCGAAUUUGGGAGUUUUCAAUUCGGUCCAUUAUUCUUGAAAUUGUUUGUUCCAUGUUGUUAUGCUAUGUUUAAGGAGUGUUUUGCAACAAAUUUCAUGAAAAAUGGUUAAGUAUUAAACCUUGUAUGAGCAUGUCUUUGUUCGAGUUCGUUCUUUGUAUAAAUGGUUAGGUUUAUUUGUUAUUGUGGGUUGUUUGUUGAAAUUCCGAUGAGGCUAAGCUCAAGGUUAAAUUCUAUGUCCCUCCUUUCCUUCCCAUCAUCCCUGUUGUUGGCGACUAUUGGAUUCUCUUCCUCGACGACGAUUAUCAGUAUGCCUUGAUUGGCCAGCCUUCUCGCCGAUAUCUCUGGGCUGCCAACUAUCUGAAUAUUAAGAGCUUGCUGGACUUGACAUGUCAAACUGUUGCUGUCAAACUGUUGCUGGACUUUAUUUAUGUACUUUUCAUUUACCUUCUCAUGUCUAGGUGAAUGUUAAUCAGUCUUGUGUUUUGGGAUCUUUGGAUCCAUACAUGGGGUGCGAGUUGUGUGUUUGCAUUGGUGAAGUCAGGUCCUGGUUCGAAUGAGGGGAAAAUUGACCCUCCACCGGUGACGAUUUCUGAACCCUUAUCUUUAUUGAUUAUUUUUUGGUUGCAUUGAGAAGGAGGUUUGUAUGUACUUGUUUGGUUGCCAGUAACAUUAGUUGUUGGCCAGGGGGUGUGUGAAUUUUGUUGUUGGUAUUUGAUUUGCUAGACUAAUUUGUUGUGCUUGAUUUGGUUGCCAAUAACAUGCUUUGUGAGUACAUGCUUUGUGACUCCCUGUUGGGGUUGUGGUGGUUGAUUUUGCAAUAUAGUGAGUCCCUUUGCCGUGGUCUGAUUUUGCAAUAUAGAGUCCCUAAGAUCUCAAUGAUUUAAUUUGAGAGAUCAUUCUUGUUACUAAAUCUAAAUGAUGAAGGGACUCAGCUGAUUUUGAAAUGGCUUGUUUGAUUUGCUCCAAUUAUAACAUUGUUGAGGUAACAAACAGGAUUUCAUUUCUUGUGAUCAAAUUACAAUCUCUCUGAUGGAUUUAAGAUGUCACUCAUGAUUGGUUCAAUGUGUACACAAACCUCAAGCCUUCAAAAAUAUGAGCUUUGUCCUUUGCCAUCCGGUUCUCCAUGGUUGACUGAUUUCCUUUAAUUUUUUAUUUUUAUUUUUGCUGUCAAUAUCCUAUCUUUACUUGCUGCUACGCUUGUUCUGUCUCUGUGCUGCUGUGCUACUUUGGUGCAGCUGUAUGUGACUGAUGAUGCUGACAGUGCUGCUGUGAGAAGCUGGUUAGGCUUGUUGGAUGAUUGUGCUGCUGUAAUUCUGCUGCCUAGUGCCAAGAACUGAUCCCUGUUAGCUGCUGCCUCUGUUUACUGCCUGCCAGGUGCUAUGCUGGCUGUCUGAAGCUAAAACCCCACACCCUGCUGUGAUUGGUUUUUGGUGCUGCUGCCCUACUUUUUGUCUGGUACGCAGAGGAUUUGUUUGAGCUCUGGCUUUCCGGUUUGCUGUUGUCACUGCUGCUGCUGUUACUGCUAUCCCUGCUGCUACUGUCCCUGCUUGCUGUCGCUGCUUUUCUUUGCCUGCUGAUGCUGUCUGCUUGCUGCUGCUGCUGAUUCUGGAGGUUUCUGCCCUGCUGCUGUUAUUCUUUCUUUUUUUUCUGGUUUGUUGCUGUUUGUAACCUCCAAGUUUGGAGGGGUUUGUAUUUUUUUCACGUAGCGUAUUUAUUUGUGUAUGAGGACACGGUGCGGCUGUACUUUAUGAGGGCUUGCCCUUUUUUCUUUUAGUAAUAAUAUCCCUUUCUUACCUACCAAAAAAAAAAA